GGAUGUAAGGGUGAUCUGGCUGGGACAUAUGUCACUUCACUAAUCAACAGGGUUGAUUUGGCUGAUCUGGCUGGCUAGGCAGAUGACUUCUUCCUCCCUCAACACUUCAUGUGCACCCCCCAUCAAAGCUGCACUUUCCAUCAAAGAGGACAACCUUCUCCUAAUGGAGGAGCACUGGUCUUCGGUCAAGGGUAUACGAGUAGCUUCACUGCCCUGCUAGAAAUUCCAAACAAGCUCUCAAAAUGGAUACCAGUAUUUAGGGAAGGCUUGUUCAAAUUCAGGUUUCUGAGAAGCUAAUGGCACCAGUAUGUACUU
This 315-nucleotide small nuclear RNA is filed under the name Jaculus jaculus (lesser Egyptian jerboa). RNAcentral's name for it is "7SK RNA (ENSJJAG00000005178.1)". It matches the Rfam family "7SK RNA". From Rfam's summary of the family: 7SK was discovered as an abundant small nuclear RNA in the mid-70s but a possible function has only recently been suggested. Two independent studies have found that 7SK RNA binds the CDK9/cyclin T complex (known as elongation factor P-TEFb). Lineage: Eukaryota; Metazoa; Chordata; Mammalia; Rodentia; Dipodidae. The record is from RNAcentral.